This 294-nucleotide small RNA is filed under the name Rummeliibacillus stabekisii. Its description in RNAcentral is "BsrG". It matches the Rfam family "BsrG". From Rfam's summary of the family: bsrE, bsrG and bsrH pair through intermolecular interactions with antisense sRNAs. SR4 interaction with the 3'UTR of bsrG RNA promotes bsrG degradation and inhibits its translation. SR5 also overlaps bsrG from nucleotide 163 to 52 (Rfam overlap check). Lineage: Bacteria; Bacillati; Bacillota; Bacilli; Caryophanales; Caryophanaceae. The record is from Rfam by way of RNAcentral.
GAUAGAUAGUUCGGUACUCAAGGGUGGUUGGCUUUCUCCUAAAUAGAUCAGACUAAUUUGUCCAUAACGUGUGGCAUCGUCUGUACAAGGAGGUGAUGCCAUGACGGUAUAUGAAUCAUUAACGUUUGCGAUUGCAUUCGCUACCUUAAUCAUUACAAUUCUGUCAUUCAACCAUAAAAAAUAACCCAUCCUUGAGUUAACGGCUCUGAUGGGUUGUCAUAUCCUAAAUGAGCUAAUCCCCCUAUCGGGAAUCAACUAUCAUCUAUUUAACCGUCCGAUGCUACAACAUCGGCG